Molecule: ribosomal RNA, 468 nt
Filed under: uncultured bacterium
Lineage: Bacteria
Description: partial 16S ribosomal RNA
Rfam family: Bacterial small subunit ribosomal RNA
Source: RNAcentral
GACGAACGCUGGCGGCGUGCUUAACACAUGCAAGUCGAACGGAAAGGCCCUGCUUUUGUGGGGUGCUCGAGUGGCGAACGGGUGAGUAACACGUGAGUAACCUGCCCUUGACUUUGGGAUAACUUCAGGAAACUGGGGCUAAUACCGGAUAGGAGCUCCUGCUGCAUGGUGGGGGUUGGAAAGUUUCGGCGGUUGGGGAUGGACUCGCGGCUUAUCAGCUUGUUGGUGGGGUAGUGGCUUACCAAGGCUUUGACGGGUAGCCGGCCUGAGAGGGUGACCGGCCACAAUAGGACUGAGAGACGGCCCAGAGGCCUACGGGAGGCAGCAGGGGGGAAUAUUGCACAAUGGGCGGAAGCCUGAUGCAGCAACGCCGCGUGCGGGAUGACGGCCUGCGGGUUGUAAACCGCUUUCGCCUGUGACGAAGCGUGAGUGACGGUAAUGGGUAAAGAAGCACCGGCUAACUACGUG